RNAcentral lists this ribosomal RNA (425 nucleotides) under uncultured bacterium. Its description in RNAcentral is "partial 16S ribosomal RNA". It matches the Rfam family "Bacterial small subunit ribosomal RNA", at positions 354 to 796 of the family's 1533-position model. The record is from RNAcentral.
GUGGGGAAUCUUGCGCAAUGGGCGAAAGCCUGACGCAGCCAUGCCGCGUGGAUGAUGAAGGUCUUAGGAUUGUAAAAUCCUUUCACCGGUGAAGAUAAUGACUGUAGCCGGAGAAGAAGCCCCGGCUAACUUCGUGCCAGCAGCCGCGGUAAUACGACGGGGGCUAGCGUUGCUCGGAUUUACUGGGCGUAAAGGGCGCGUAGGCGGACAUUUAAGUCAGGGGUGAAAUCCCGGGGCUCAACCUCGGAACUGCCUUUGAUACUGGGUGUCUUGAGUAUGAGAGAGGUGUGUGGAACUCCGAGUGUAGAGGUGAAAUUCGUAGAUAUUCGGAAGAACACCAGUGGCGAAGGCGACACACUGGCUCAUUACUGACGCUGAGGCGCGAAAGCGUGGGGAGCAAACAGGAUUAGAUACCCUUGUAGUCC